This 49-nucleotide transfer RNA is filed under the name Gallus gallus (chicken). RNAcentral describes it as "partial tRNA-Thr". Lineage: Eukaryota; Metazoa; Chordata; Aves; Galliformes; Phasianidae. The record is from RNAcentral.
ACUCUAAUAGUUUAUGAAAAACAUUGGUCUUGUAAACCAAAAACUGAAG